This 432-nucleotide unclassified non-coding RNA is filed under the name soil metagenome. RNAcentral describes it as "partial contains 5.8S ribosomal RNA, internal transcribed spacer 2, and large subunit ribosomal RNA". The stretch from base 1 to 120 matches the Rfam family "5.8S ribosomal RNA", at positions 35 to 154 of the family's 154-position model. The record is from RNAcentral.
GAUGAAGAACGCAGCGAAAUGCGAUACGUAAUGUGAAUUGCAGAAUUCAGUGAAUCAUCGAAUCUUUGAACGCAUAUUGCGCUCUCUGGUAUUCCGGAGAGCAUGCUUGUUUGAGUAUCAGUAAACACCUCAACUUCCAUAUCUUUUUUUGAAAUGGGAGUUGGACUUGAGUGAUCCCAACGCUUUUCCUCACCGAAAAGUGGCGGGUUACUUGAAAUGCAGGUGCAGCUGGACUUUUCUCUGAGCUAUAAGCAUAUCUAUUUAGUCUGCCUAAAAAACAGAUUAUUACCUUUGCUGCAGCUAACAUAAAGGAGAUUAGUUCUUGUGCUGACUGAUGCAGGAUUCACAAAGACAGCUUCGGCCGACUUUGUAAACUCGAUCUCAAAUCAAGUAAGACUACCCGCUGAACUUAAGCAUAUCAAUAGCGGAGGA